CAAAUAAACCUAGACGUCGUCUAACGACAGUGUUGGCUACUCUACUUCCUCUGAGUAAUUUUGCGGCUCUCUGGGCCUGAAAAUCAACCUAUAGCUGUGUUACGGAGGCGCGAGGCCAAUCCGUCGCUUCUAAUCACUGUGUGCGGUAGAUGGACUGAGGCAGUAAACUACAAGCUCAUCGACAUGAUGCAUUUGCAGAGAAGAUCAUGAUAUAAGGACGCAUUCCUACGACCGGCCUGGCCAGUACAGAAAACACCCCUUGAAGAGAGAUCGUCAACUCAUGGGGUAGGUAUUUAAUUGAAAAACAAACAAAAAUAAUAAUUACAUUGCAUUGUUAUGAACUUAAUUUCGUUUUUGGAAAUGAGUGCAAAGGCAGUAUUUUUACAGAGCAUAAUGGCCAAUUCAGCGAGAUUUUGUCAUUCCUAAAGACCAACAUGCCAAGGAAGAUUAGGUCCCAUCAAGACACACUUAACAGCUUACUCAUUAAGCUCGCGCACAGAAAUGCACGUACAUGCUCCAAUAGUGACUGGUUUAAUAAUACAAGGGGCUGGCAUAUAACUGGCAGACCAAUGUCUGCUAUGGAAUCUAUAUUUAUGUUGUAUGAUUAUGUAUUGACGAUUAGUGUUUUUUUAAAUGUAUUGGCACUGUUCAUUGCCUAAACCUAUGUUUGCCACUUGUCUAAAUUAUUGUGGAUAACAGCAUCUGCCAAGUGUAAAUGUGGAUUCUACUUCUUAUUUUCCAAUUUGUUCUUUUUUUAACAGCACAUGAUAAUUUUAUGUUUACACUUAUUUUAUUUUUUCCACAUUCUGUAUCUGACUGGGCUGUUGUAUAAAACCUAUGAUCAAGGAAUAGUUGUCAAAUGUUAUGAGUGUAAUCAAAGUUCAGGUUGCAUACUGCCCUCUCAGAAAUGCUUGACUCCCUCCAAAAGUGAAAAUUGAAGCAUUUUAUGUGGGUAACAAGUCACAACUAGUCUUAGGUCUCUAUUUUAACAUACAGCAUUUUAACCAUUCUUGAGCAGAUCAACUUACACAAAUUCAGGUCAGCAGUUCAUACAUAAUGGCUAGAGCUGGAUUUUUAUAUAUAGCUGGUCGGCUUUCAGUGAAGAUGGAACAUAGGAAUUAAUUGGUAACCUGAUUAAACAUUUCCUCUUUAGUUAUACAACUGCAAAUCCACUGUCAGCAUGUCUCAUGUUUAGGAGAUUUCGAAUGUUGCAGCAUGCUGUCCAAAAUGGUCCUGGUAUUUUUAAAAACAUAUUUAAUGAUAUGUAGAAGUACAUGCUAUGUACACGUAUGUGAACAUUUACCAUGUUAUCACAGUUCUGCACAGAUGUCAAAAUUUUGUUCCCCCCUCCUUCAUUAAAAAAAAUAAUAAAUAUAAAACGGUGACAGGGUGGAAAUUUUGUUUUGAAAAGUUUUCAGUCCUGGAAUUUGAGGGAAAAGUGCUGAAAUUGAAUAAAUUAAAAAUACCCCAAGGAUCCUUAAGGUUCUGUAUAUCAUCAAACAGCUGCCCAUUUCGGAUUCAUGACGGUAGGUAUGUGAAGUCAGCAAAAUAUGUUUAUAACC
This is a long non-coding RNA of Anguilla anguilla (European eel), 1562 nucleotides long. RefSeq lists it as uncharacterized. The record is from RefSeq and is a predicted model, not a curated record. The transcript is spliced from 3 exons. Lineage: Eukaryota; Metazoa; Chordata; Actinopteri; Anguilliformes; Anguillidae.